RNAcentral lists this ribosomal RNA (460 nucleotides) under uncultured bacterium. RNAcentral's name for it is "partial 16S ribosomal RNA". It matches the Rfam family "Bacterial small subunit ribosomal RNA", at positions 338 to 795 of the family's 1533-position model. The record is from RNAcentral.
CCUACGGGUGGCUGCAGUGAGGAAUAUUGGUCAAUGGACGCAAGUCUGAACCAGCCAUGCCGCGUGCAGGAAGACGGCUCUAUGAGUUGUAAACUGCUUUUGUCCGAGGGUAAAUCCCGAUACGUGUAUCGGGUUGCAAGUAUCGUACGAAUAAGGAUCGGCUAACUCCGUGCCAGCAGCCGCGGUAAUACGGAGGAUUCAAGCGUUAUCCGGAUUUAUUGGGUUUAAAGGGUGCGUAGGCGGUUCGAUAAGUUAGGGGUGAAAUCCCGGGGCUCAACCCCGGCACUGCCUCUGAUACUGGCAGACUAGAGUUUGGGUGCGGUACGCGGAAUGCAUGGUGUAGCUGUGAAAUGCAUAGAGAUCGUACAGAACUCCGAUUGCGAAGGCAGCUUACCGAACUACGACUGACGUUGAGGCACGAAAGCGUGGGGAGCGAACAGGAUUAGAUACCCCGGUAGUC